This 888-nucleotide ribosomal RNA is filed under the name Corynebacterium amycolatum. RNAcentral's name for it is "partial 23S ribosomal RNA". It matches the Rfam family "Bacterial large subunit ribosomal RNA", at positions 1 to 836 of the family's 2925-position model. The record is from RNAcentral. Lineage: Bacteria; Bacillati; Actinomycetota; Actinomycetes; Mycobacteriales; Corynebacteriaceae.
GUGUUGUGUUGUAAGGGCGCAUGGUGGAUGCCUUGGCAUAGUAGGCCGAUGAAGGACGUGAGAGGCUGCGAUAGGCCUCGGGGAGCUGCCAACUAAGCGUUGAUCCGAGGGUGUCCGAAUGGGGAAACCUGGCCGUCGUUGUGGGCGGUCGCCGUUAGAUGAAUUCAUAGUCUAAUUGGUGGUUACGCGGGGAAGUGAAACAUCUCAGUACCCGUAGGAGUAGAAAACAAUUGUGAUUCCGUUAGUAGUGGCGAACGAACGUGGAUGAGGCUAAACCGCGUGCGUGUGAUACCUGGCAGGGUUUGCGUGCGUGGGGUUGUGGGGAUGCAUUUGUGCAGGGUCUGCUAGUCCUGCGUUGUGUGGUGUGGGUGUAGCGGAAGUGGAUUGGAAUGUCCUGCCGUAGACGGUGAGAGUCCGGUACGUGAAACACCCGUGCGUGCAAUUGGUGUGUUGCCCGAGUAGCAGCGGGCUCGUGGAAUCUGCUGUGAAUCUGCCGGGACCACCCGGUAAGCCUAAAUACCUGCUUAUGACCGAUAGCGGAUUAGUACCGUGAGGGAAUGGUGAAAAGUACCCCGGGAGGGGAGUGAAAUAGUACCUGAAACCAUGUGCUUACAAUCCGUCAGAGCCCUUUUUUGUGGGGUGAUGGCGUGCCUUUUGAAGAAUGAGCCUGCGAGUCAGCGGCAUGUCGCGAGGUUAACCCGUGUGGUGGGGUAGUCGUAGCGAAAGCGAAUACUAACUAGUGUGUUGUCAGUGGCAUGUCCUGGACCCGAAGCGGGGUGAUCUACCCAUGGCCAGUGUGAAGCAGAGGUAAGACUCUGUGGAGGCGCGAACCCACUUAGGUUGAAAACUGAGGGGAUGAGUUGUGGGUAGGGGUGAAAGGCCAAUCAA